Podarcis lilfordi (Lilford's wall lizard) is the source of this 76-nucleotide non-coding RNA. The record is from the annotation of a GenBank genome assembly. NCBI's taxonomy places the organism in Eukaryota, Metazoa, Chordata, Lepidosauria, Squamata, Lacertidae.
UUUGGGAUAGUUCAGUUCGUAGUGCAUGAGACUCUUAAUCUCAGGGUUGUGGGUUUGAGCCCCAUGUUUGGCAAAA